UUCUCCUUUUGUUAACUGAAAACUACAGCCACACUCAUUUUUGAGUUUUUCUCCACUAUGAAACUCACGGUCAGAUAUCUUCGGGGGCGCACCUAUUUUUGAUAAAAAAUUUCUCUAACACCCAUAUUAUUUAUAAUUAGAAUUUUCAUUUGGCUUCUUUUUCCUUUGGGUCUUUUUUUUUGUCGAUUUCUUUCUUCCUUCAUCUUCAGUCUUUUAAUCAAAGAAGAAGGCUUUUGUUUGAUCAACAUAAACCGAUUUCGAUUGCUGAAGAACUUUGAUUUUCACAUGUUUUUUCUUUUUGAAAUCCAUAGGGUUUCUGAAACACAUCCGAGAUAUUCACAGGGGACGGAUCUAUUCGAGAUGAGUUUCCAGAUUGGUAAAUUGAAUUAUGGAAUCGAUCAGUCGAGCUUGUUGUUUCUGCCGAUGGAAACGAUGAAGAUUGGUAAUGGUGGAACCGUAUAUAACUUUUUAUGGUUGUUCGUUUGGCAGAGAAAUAUUUCACAGAUUUUCAGUUGAAAGUUGAAACUGGUCUCAAAGUUUUCGAAUUUCACUGACGGAAUGCGUAUUGCCGGAUAGUCUUUGCAACUAUGAUUUAACUAUGAUUUCCAGUACCUAACUAUUAUGAGACCAGGUGUGAGCUAUUACAGGAAAAAGCAGAUGAAAAGUUUCAAAAUGAUAGACGAACUUUAGCUGUCAAAGAAAAUUGGCAUUCGUCAUGGGUUCGAGAUCGGCCUGCCUUAGCUGGGAAAAUGUAACGACACAGGUUAGUCAUGGCCAUACCAAUUUUAGGCCUUUUUGUAGUCCUACUAAGAUUUGUCCAUGACUAUUGCUUAAACUAUAAAUUUGUCUUAACAGCAGCUGCAGUACUAUCACUUUCCAGGAUGCAAUUUUGUGUUAGUGUGUAGAUGAGCAAUCAGUUAUUAGGCAAUUGCUUUGAAACUUCUAGGAACUUUAACUUUCUUGUAUACAAUUCUCUAGUUUUGAGUGGCAUGGCGUUUGUAAUUUUUAGCUGUACUUACUGGAGGUUCUUCAGCGUCAUGAUUAUGAAAUUAUUGUCCUUUUAAUUGUUUCCUGAA
This is a long non-coding RNA of Papaver somniferum (opium poppy), 1076 nucleotides long. RefSeq lists it as uncharacterized. The transcript has 3 exons. The record is from RefSeq and is a predicted model, not a curated record. Lineage: Eukaryota; Viridiplantae; Streptophyta; Magnoliopsida; Ranunculales; Papaveraceae.